AUUGAACGCUGGCGGCAGGCCUAACACAUGCAAGUCGAGCGGAUGAAGGGAGCUUGCUCCUGGAUUCAGCGGCGGACGGGUGAGUAAUGCCUAGGAAUCUGCCUGGUAGUGGGGGAUAACGUCCGGAAACGGGCGCUAAUACCGCAUACGUCCUGAGGGAGAAAGUGGGGGAUCUUCGGACCUCACGCUAUCAGAUGAGCCUAGGUCGGAUUAGCUAGUUGGUGGGGUAAAGGCCUACCAAGGCGACGAUCCGUAACUGGUCUGAGAGGAUGAUCAGUCACACUGGAACUGAGACACGGUCCAGACUCCUACGGGAGGCAGCAGUGGGGAAUGUUGGACAAUGGGCGAAAGCAUGAUCCAGCCAUGCCGCGUGUGUGAAGAAGGUCUUCGGAUUGUAAAGCACUUUAAGUUGGGAGGAAGGGCAGUAAGUUAAUACCUUGCUGUUUUGACGUUACCAACAGAAUAAGCACCGGCUAACUUCGUG
RNAcentral lists this ribosomal RNA (484 nucleotides) under uncultured bacterium. Its description in RNAcentral is "partial 16S ribosomal RNA". It matches the Rfam family "Bacterial small subunit ribosomal RNA", at positions 30 to 507 of the family's 1533-position model. The record is from RNAcentral.